This 224-nucleotide unclassified non-coding RNA is filed under the name Hevea brasiliensis (rubber tree). The record is from RNAcentral. Lineage: Eukaryota; Viridiplantae; Streptophyta; Magnoliopsida; Malpighiales; Euphorbiaceae.
AGAGCCCCUUGAUGCGUGUUCAGAUUUGACAAAUGAAGUUGAAAAAGCUUCAAAUAUUACUUCCCCAUAUGUUUUAAUUAUAAGAGGAGGGUGUAGCUUUGAGGAUAAAGUUAGAAGAGCACAGAAGGCUGGGUUCAAAGCUGCAAUUGUGUAUAACAAUGAAGAUGAUGGCAUCUUGGUUUCAAUGGCAGGGACUUCAACUGGUAUAAAAAUACAUGCUGUAU